RNAcentral lists this ribosomal RNA (229 nucleotides) under uncultured bacterium. RNAcentral describes it as "partial 16S ribosomal RNA". It matches the Rfam family "Bacterial small subunit ribosomal RNA", at positions 30 to 265 of the family's 1533-position model. The record is from RNAcentral.
UUGAACGCUGGCGGCAUGCCUUACACAUGCAAGUCGAACGGUAGAGGGGCAACCCUUGAGAGUGGCGAACGGGUGAGUAAUAUAUCGGAACGUGCCCAGUCGUGGGGGAUAACGCAGCGAAAGCUGCGCUAAUACCGCAUACGAUCUAAGGAUGAAAGCGGGGGAUCGCAAGACCUCACGCGAUUGGAGCGGCCGAUAUCAGAUUAGGUAGUUGGUGGGGUAAAAAGCC